GACGAACGCUGGCGGCGUGCUUAACACAUGCAAGUCGAACGGAAAGGCCCUGCUUUUGUGGGGUGCUCGAGUGGCGAACGGGUGAGUAACACGUGAGUAACCUGCCCUUGACUUUGGGAUAACUUCAGGAAACUGGGGCUAAUACCGGAUAGGAGCUCAUGCUGCAUGGUGGGGGGUGGAAAGUUUCGGCGGUUGGGGAUGGACUCGCGGCUUAUCAGCUUGUUGGUGGGGUAGUGGCUUACCAAGGCUUUGACGGGUAGCCGGCCUGAGAGGGUGACCGGCCACAUUGCGACUGAGAUACGGCCCAGACUCCUACGUGAGGCAGCAGUGGGGAAUAUUGCACAAUGGGCGGAAGCCUGAUGCAGCAACGCCGCGUGCGGGAUGCCGGCCUUCGGGUUGUAAACCGCUUUCGCCUGUGACGAAGCGUGAGUGACGGUAAUGGGUAAAGAAGCACCGGCUAACUACGUG
Molecule: ribosomal RNA, 468 nt
Filed under: uncultured bacterium
Lineage: Bacteria
Description: partial 16S ribosomal RNA
Rfam family: Bacterial small subunit ribosomal RNA
Source: RNAcentral